UGAAGUAAACUCGCGGGUGUCUCACAGGAUU
RNAcentral lists this non-coding RNA (31 nucleotides) under Mus musculus (house mouse). Lineage: Eukaryota; Metazoa; Chordata; Mammalia; Rodentia; Muridae. The record is from RNAcentral.